CACGUAGUUAGCCGGCGCUUCUUAUCCAGCUACCGUCAACCCACCCACCAAGGGCAGGCCUGCUUCACUGGCGAAAGAGGUUCACAACCCGAAGGCCUCCAUCCCUCACGCGGCGUCGCUGCAUCAGGCUUGCGCCCAUUGUGCAAUAUUCCCCACUGCUGCCUCCCGUAGGAGUCUGGGCCGUGUCUCAGUCCCAGUGUGACCGUCCACCCUCUCAGGCCGGCUACCCGUCACCGCCUUGGUAGGCCAUCACCCCACCAACAAGCUGAUAGGCCGCGAGCCCAUCCCCCACCGAAACAAUAUCUUUCCCGAGCCCACCAUGCGACAGACCCAGAAUAUCCCGUAUUAGCCACACUUUCAUGCGGUUAUCCAGAAGAAGGGGCAGGUUACUCACGUGUUACUCACCCGUUCGCCACUCAUCCAGAACCAGCAAAAACCAGUCCCUUCACCGUUCGACUUGCAUGUGUUAAGCACGCCGCCAGCGUUCGUCCUCGAGCC
RNAcentral lists this ribosomal RNA (498 nucleotides) under uncultured Actinomyces sp. RNAcentral's name for it is "partial 16S ribosomal RNA". The record is from RNAcentral. Lineage: Bacteria; Bacillati; Actinomycetota; Actinomycetes; Actinomycetales; Actinomycetaceae.